GCUUGUCUCAAAGAUUAAGCCAUGCAUGUCUAAGUAUAAACAACUUUGUACUGUGAAACUGCGAAUGGCUCAUUAAAUCAGUUAUAGUUUAUUUGAUGGUGCUUACUACAUGGAUAACCGUGGUAAUUCUAGAGCUAAUACAUGCGCAAAAGACCCGACUGUUUGGGAGGGUUGUAUUUAUUAGAUAAAAAACCAAUGCGGGUUCUGCCCGGUUUUGUGUUGAAUCAUAGUAACUUUUCGAAUCGCAUGGCUUCACGCCGGCGAUAGUUCAUUCAAAUUUCUGCCCUAUCAGCUUUCGACGGUAGUGUAGUGGACUACCGUGGCGUUAACGGGUAACGGAGAAUUAGGGUUCGAUUCCGGAGAGGGAGCCUGAGAAACGGCUACCACAUCCAAGGAAGGCAGCAGG
This 406-nucleotide ribosomal RNA is filed under the name uncultured Protaspa. Its description in RNAcentral is "partial small subunit ribosomal RNA". It matches the Rfam family "Eukaryotic small subunit ribosomal RNA", at positions 30 to 432 of the family's 1831-position model. The record is from RNAcentral. Lineage: Eukaryota; Cercozoa; Thecofilosea; Cryomonadida.